RNAcentral lists this long non-coding RNA (282 nucleotides) under Ananas comosus (pineapple). RNAcentral's name for it is "long non-coding RNA (ACOM_LNC034940)". The record is from RNAcentral. Lineage: Eukaryota; Viridiplantae; Streptophyta; Magnoliopsida; Poales; Bromeliaceae.
AAAUAGUUGUGUAUUAUCUGUUCGUUAGUACUAAUCAUUAAUUUUAAAAACUCGAGUUGGUUACUUAAAUGGUAUAGACACAACGUCAGCAUGCAUGAAUCGAACCCAUGACCUCUGUAUCUAAUAUCGCUUGUCAGAUUGUUGGUGUUAUCUAUAUAUUAACUUCAAAAACCAAAGCUGUUAGAAAUACGCAACUAAUAUACUUAAAGCGUACAGAAACAGCGUCUACGGGUGUCAACUGUGACUCGGCUCAACCAGUCUCACGUCACUUUGAACAUGACU